GACGAACCGUGCGAACGUUGUUCGGAAUCACUGGGCUUAAAGGGCGCGUAGGCGGGGUGGCAAGUCUGUGGUGAAAUCCUCCGGCUCAACCGGAGAACUGCCGUGGAUACUGCCAUUCUCGAGGGGUGUAGGGGCAUGUGGAACUCAGGGUGGAGCGGUGAAAUGCGUAGAUAUCCUGAGGAACGCCGGUGGCGAAAGCGACGUGCUGGACACCUACUGACGCUGAGGCGCGAAAGCCAGGGGAGCGAACGGG
RNAcentral lists this ribosomal RNA (253 nucleotides) under uncultured bacterium. Its description in RNAcentral is "partial 16S ribosomal RNA". It matches the Rfam family "Bacterial small subunit ribosomal RNA", at positions 524 to 776 of the family's 1533-position model. The record is from RNAcentral.